GAGCCCGUGGCUCAAUAGUAGAGCGUUUGACACAGUUACAAAUUUUGCGGGUUUGAAUCCCGUGUGCUCC
Molecule: transfer RNA, 70 nt
Filed under: Schistocephalus solidus
Lineage: Eukaryota; Metazoa; Platyhelminthes; Cestoda; Diphyllobothriidea; Diphyllobothriidae
Rfam family: tRNA
About the family: Transfer RNA (tRNA) molecules are approximately 80 nucleotides in length. Their secondary structure includes four short double-helical elements and three loops (D, anti-codon, and T loops).
Source: Rfam by way of RNAcentral